UACGUAGGGUGCGAGCGUUGUCCGGAAUUAUUGGGCGUAAAGAGCUCGUAGGCGGCUUGUCGCGUCGGUUGUGAAAGCCCGGGGCUUAACUCCGGGUCUGCAGUCGAUACGGGCAGGCUAGAGUGUGGUAGGGGAGAUCGGAGUUCCUGGUGUAGCGGUGAAAUGCGCAGAUAUCAGGAGGAACACCGGUGGCGAAGGCGGAUCUCUGGGCCAUUACUGACGCUGAGGAGCGAAAGCGUGGGGAGCGAACAGG
Molecule: ribosomal RNA, 253 nt
Filed under: uncultured bacterium
Lineage: Bacteria
Description: partial 16S ribosomal RNA
Rfam family: Bacterial small subunit ribosomal RNA
Source: RNAcentral